UGAGGAAUAUUGGUCAAUGGGCGAGAGCCUGAACCAGCCAAGUAGCGUGCAGGAUGACGGCCCUAUGGGUUGUAAACUGCUUUUAUGCGGGGAUAAAGUGCGCGACGUGUCGUGCAUUGCAGGUACCGCAUGAAUAAGGACCGGCUAAUUCCGUGCCAGCAGCCGCGGUAAUACGGAAGGUCCGGGCGUUAUCCGGAUUUAUUGGGUUUAAAGGGAGCGUAGGCCGCCAGAUAAGCGUGUUGUGAAAUGUACCGACUCAACCGGUGAAUUGCAGCGCGAACUGUUUGGCUUGAGUGCACGGUAAGCAGGCGGAAUUCAUGGUGUAGCGGUGAAAUGCUUAGAUAUCAUGAAGAACUCCGAUUGCGAAGGCAGCUUGCUGCAGUGCGACUGACGCUGAUGCUCGAAGGUGCGGGUAUCAAACAGG
This 424-nucleotide ribosomal RNA is filed under the name Verrucomicrobiota bacterium. RNAcentral's name for it is "Verrucomicrobia bacterium partial 16S ribosomal RNA". It matches the Rfam family "Bacterial small subunit ribosomal RNA", at positions 355 to 776 of the family's 1533-position model. The record is from RNAcentral. Lineage: Bacteria; Pseudomonadati; Verrucomicrobiota.